Molecule: ribosomal RNA, 486 nt
Filed under: uncultured bacterium
Lineage: Bacteria
Description: bacterial SSU rRNA
Rfam family: Bacterial small subunit ribosomal RNA
Source: RNAcentral
GACGAACGCUGGCGGCGUGCUUAACACAUGCAAGUCGAACGGAACUUCUUGGAUAGAGGCUUCGGCCAAUUGAAUUGAAGUUUAGUGGCGGACUGGUGAGUAACGCGUGAGGAACCUGCCUUUCAGAGGGGGACAACAGUUGGAAACGACUGCUAAUACCGCAUAAUACUUCCGAAAGGCAUCUUUUGGAAGUCAAAGAUUUAUUGCUGAAGGAUGGGCUCAUGUCUGAUUAGCUAGUUGGUGAGGUAACGGCUCACCAAGGCGACGAUCAGUAGCCGGUCUGAGAGGAUGAACGGCCACAUUGGGACUGAGAUACGGUCCAGACUCCUACGGGAGGCAGCAGUGGGGAAUAUUGCACAAUGGGGGAAACCCUGAUGCAGCAACGCCGCGUGAGGGAAGAAGGUUUUCGGAUUGUAAACCUCUGUUUUUAGUGAAGAAACAAAUGACGGUAGCUAAAGAGGAAGCCACGGCUAACUACGUGCCAGC